RNAcentral lists this transfer RNA (73 nucleotides) under Prevotella sp. RNAcentral describes it as "tRNA-Trp". It matches the Rfam family "tRNA". Rfam says of the family: Transfer RNA (tRNA) molecules are approximately 80 nucleotides in length. Their secondary structure includes four short double-helical elements and three loops (D, anti-codon, and T loops). The record is from RNAcentral. Lineage: Bacteria; Pseudomonadati; Bacteroidota; Bacteroidia; Bacteroidales; Prevotellaceae.
ACGGGAAUAGCUCAGUUGGUAGAGCAUCGGUCUCCAAAACCGAGGGUCGUAGGUUCGAGUCCUGCUUUCCGUG